Molecule: ribosomal RNA, 484 nt
Filed under: uncultured bacterium
Lineage: Bacteria
Description: partial 16S ribosomal RNA
Rfam family: Bacterial small subunit ribosomal RNA
Source: RNAcentral
AUUGAACGCUGGCGGCAGGCCUAACACAUGCAAGUCGAGCGGAUGAAGGGAGCUUGCUCCUGGAUUCGGCGGCGGACGGGUGAGUAAUGCCUAGGAAUCUGCCUGGUAGUGGGUGAUAACGUCCGGAAACGGGCGCUAAUACCGCAUACGUCCUGAGGGAGAAAGUGGGGGAUCUUCGGACCUCACGCUAUCAGAUGAGCCUAGGUCGGAUUAGCUAGUUGGUGGGGUAAAGGCCUACCAAGGCGACGAUCCGUAACUGGUCUGAGAGGAUGAUCAGUCACACUGGAACUGAGACACGGUCCAGACUCCUACGGGAGGCAGCAGUGGGGAAUAUUGGACAAUGGGCGAAAGCCUGAUCCAGCCAUGCCGCGUGUGUGAAGAAGGUCUUCGGAUUGUAAAGCACUUUAAGUUGGGAGGAAGGGCAGUAAGUUAGUACCUUGCUGUUUUGACGUUACCAACAGAAUAAGCACCGGCUAACUUCGUG